RNAcentral lists this ribosomal RNA (384 nucleotides) under uncultured bacterium. RNAcentral describes it as "bacterial SSU rRNA". It matches the Rfam family "Bacterial small subunit ribosomal RNA", at positions 29 to 416 of the family's 1533-position model. The record is from RNAcentral.
AUUGAACGCUGGCGGCAUGCCUUACACAUGCAAGUCGAACGGUAACGCGGGGGCAACCCUGGCGACGAGUGGCGAACGGGUGAGUAAAGCAUCGGAACGUAUCUUGUAGUGGGGGAUAACCUAGCGAAAGCUAGGCUAAUACCGCAUACGCCCUGAGGGGGAAAGUGGGGGAUUCGCAAGAACCUCACGCUAUUGGAGCGGCCGAUGUCGGAUUAGCUAGUUGGUGAGGUAAAGGCUACCAAGGCGACGAUCCGUAGCUGGUUUGAGAGAACGACCAGCCACACUGGGACUGAGACACGGCCCAGACUCCUACGGGAGGCAGCAGUGGGGAUUUGGACAAUGGGGCAACCCUGAUCCAGCCAUGCCGCGUGAGUGAAGAAGGCC